AGAGUUUGAUCCUGGCUCAGGACGAACGCUGGCGGCGUGCUUAACACAUGCAAGUCGAGCGGUAAGGCCUUUCGGGGUACACGAGCGGCGAACGGGUGAGUAACACGUGGGUGAUCUGCCCUGCACUUCGGGAUAAGCCUGGGAAACUGGGUCUAAUACCGGAUAUGACCUCCUAUCGCAUGGUGGGUGGUGGAAAGAUUUAUCGGUGCAGGAUGGGCCCGCGGCCUAUCAGCUUGUUGGUGGGGUAAUGGCCUACCAAGGCGACGACGGGUAGCCGACCUGAGAGGGUGACCGGCCACACUGGGACUGAGACACGGCCCAGACUCCUACGGGAGGCAGCAGUGGGGAAUAUUGCACAAUGGGCGAAAGCCUGAUGCAGCGACGCCGCGUGAGGGAUGACGGCCUUCGGGUUGUAAACCUCUUUCAGCAGGGACGAAGCGCAAGUGACGGUACCUGCAGAAGAAGCACCGGCUAACUACGUGCUAGCAGCCGCGGUAAUACGUAGGGUGCAAGCGUUGUCCGGAAUUACUGGGCGUAAAGAGUUCGUAGGCGGUUUGUCGCGUCGUUUGUGAAAACCAGCAGCUCAACUGCUGGCUUGCAGGCGAUACGGGCAGACUUGAGUACUGCAGGGGAGACUGGAAUUCCUGGUGUAGCGGUGAAAUGCGCAGAUAUCAGGAGGAACACCGGUGGCGAAGGCGGGUCUCUGGGCAGUAACUGACGCUGAGGAACGAAAGCGUGGGUAGCGAACAGGAUUAGAUACCCUGGUAGUCCACGCCGUAAACGGUGGGCGCUAGGUGUGGGUUCCUUCCACGGAAUCUGUGCCGUAGCUAACGCA
RNAcentral lists this ribosomal RNA (835 nucleotides) under uncultured bacterium. RNAcentral's name for it is "bacterial SSU rRNA". It matches the Rfam family "Bacterial small subunit ribosomal RNA", at positions 8 to 859 of the family's 1533-position model. The record is from RNAcentral.